AGGAACAGUUGGGCAGACAUCACCCUACAGCAUUUUCAGGAGCGUUUAUAAUCUGUUGAAUAUGGCAGAAAUGACACCUUGUAUAAAUGUGGUCCUGCUUGGAAAAACAGGAUCUGGAAAAAGUUCAUCAGGAAACACAAUCCUGGGUCGACAAGCUUUCAUCUCAAAGCGAAGAUCCGUAUCAGUCACACGAGACGUUGCUGUGGAGUCUGGAUCAUUCUGUGAACUACCAGUCACUGUUUAUGACACACCAGGUUUAUUAAAUACAAAUAUGAGUGAAGAAGAGAUUCAGCAGAUGAUCAAUAAGAAGGUCCUCCAGAAAUGUUCAUCAGGUCUGUGUGUGUUUCUGCUGGUCAUCAAAGCUGACAGAUUCACUGAAGAAGAGAGAAAGACUGUGGAGAUGAUUGAGAAGAUCCUGGGAGAAAACAACCAGAAAGACAUCUGGAUUCUUUUCACCAGAGGAGACGAACUGGAGGAAGAAAACACGACAAUCCAGGAGUUCAUAGAGGAGACUGAAGAACUGAAGA
Danio rerio (zebrafish) is the source of this 527-nucleotide non-coding RNA. NCBI's taxonomy places the organism in Eukaryota, Metazoa, Chordata, Actinopteri, Cypriniformes, Danionidae. The record is from Ensembl.